This 29-nucleotide non-coding RNA is filed under the name Mus musculus (house mouse). Lineage: Eukaryota; Metazoa; Chordata; Mammalia; Rodentia; Muridae. The record is from RNAcentral.
UCUCCAGUCUGUGGAGGUGACUGUCCUGC